GCGAGAUGAGGCGGGAACGACGCGGCGCGCGCGGAGGGCGGGCGGCCCCUGAGGGACGGUGGAGCGCGCACGCAGCCUCUGCGAGCGCUGUGGGUGUUACAGAGGCUGUAGAGUGAAGGCGGUGCGAUAAGUGCUACCAGAAACCCCGUGAGGGGCGAUCAGUCCUCUUAGAGAUGCUGAUUCUGCUCAAGUACCGAAGGAGACAAAGAAACGUGCAACCUUUUCAACCGGGAAGAUGCACCCACUGCUGCGCCGGCUCCAUCUUGUGGCCAAACGUACAUAUAUAGAUAUAUUUUAAUUAGAUAUCCGAAUCCUCUUACUAUAAUUCUUAUAUGAAUACUGAUAAACAAGUGUGUGAAUUUCCUUCAUGCAUUUUAUAAUAAAUGGCUUGAAUGUUUCUGGUAACUGAAAAAUAGGGAGUCUGAUUAAAGAUAAGAUCAGUGCAAGCAAGCAUUGCCUAUUUUCUUGUAUAAUGCUACAAAUAUUCUGGCUGAUUUAUUUGUUUGCGUCUCCAGAUGUUUUUCACGUAACUGUCAUUAAAUGAAAUGAUAGCAUUUGAACUUUCACACUCUUGCCUAUGCAGCUCAUCCUGCCAUCCCUGAAUCUGAGCAAAUACAUUCAGU
This 623-nucleotide long non-coding RNA is filed under the name Gallus gallus (chicken). RNAcentral's name for it is "long non-coding RNA NONGGAT002734". Lineage: Eukaryota; Metazoa; Chordata; Aves; Galliformes; Phasianidae. The record is from RNAcentral.